UGGUAGUCCACGCCCUAAACGAUGAACACUAGUUGUUGCCCUGCACGUCAGGGCAGUAAUGCACCUAACGGAGUAAGUGUUCCGCCUGGGGAGUACGGUCGCAAGAUUAAAACUCAAAGGAAUAGACGGGGACCCGCACAAGCGGUGGAGCAUGUGGUUUAAUUCGAAGAUACGCGAAAAACCUUACCUGGCCUUGAUAUCCCAAGAAUCCUGUAGAGAUACGGGAGUGCUUGCUUGCAAGAACUUGGUGACAGGUGCUGCACGGCUGUCGUCAGCUCGUGUCGUGAGAUGUUGGGUUAAGUCCCGCAACGAGCGCAACCCUCGUGUUUAGUUGCUAACAGUUCGGCUGAGCACUCUAAACAGACUGCCUUCGUAAGGAGGAGGAAGGUGAGGACGACGUCAAGUCAUCAUGGCCCUUAUGGCCAGGGCUACACACGUGCUACAAUGGGUAGGACAAUGAGAUGCAAUACCGUGAGGUGGAGCAAAUCUAUAAACCUACUCUCAGUUCGGAUUGUUCUCUGCAACUCGAGAACAUGAAGCUGGAAUCGCUAGUAAUCGUAGAUCAGCAUUGCUACGGUGAAUACGUUCCCGGGUCUUGUACUCACCGCCCGUCACACCAUGGGAGUUGAUUUCACC
RNAcentral lists this ribosomal RNA (636 nucleotides) under Sulfurospirillum sp. L5-9. RNAcentral describes it as "bacterial SSU rRNA". It matches the Rfam family "Bacterial small subunit ribosomal RNA", at positions 788 to 1421 of the family's 1533-position model. The record is from RNAcentral. Lineage: Bacteria; Pseudomonadati; Campylobacterota; Epsilonproteobacteria; Campylobacterales; Sulfurospirillaceae.